Molecule: long non-coding RNA, 498 nt
Organism: Triticum aestivum (bread wheat)
Lineage: Eukaryota; Viridiplantae; Streptophyta; Magnoliopsida; Poales; Poaceae
Exons: 2
Source: RefSeq, a predicted model, not a curated record
UCCUAUUACAAGUUCUGAUCCUGAAGCUUUGGAACUAAAUGAAAGCUGAUGCUCGGGGUGAAGUUAAUUUGAGAAUAAUGCCAAUGUUGCUGAACAAUCAUUCAAAGGAAAUGCGAUUCAAACGUCGUCGUCGAAGCAUGUUCCUGAACUUCAAUCUAUCAGAUACAAGUGGCCAAGGAAAUACCUCAGUUUUGUUAGCACACCUACUUCUCCAAGUCCACAUGAGGGAAUGCAUCCUUCUUUGUAUUUACCACCAUUUCUGCUACCUGUUAAGCGUAACUGCCCCAUGUAAAUUUCUUCUUGCUGUAGCUACAGUUAGGAUUCAGUGGUAAGUUGUCAGAUGUGGCAUUUGUGCAUUCAAUGUUGAAUGUACUGGGUGUUUGAUUUCUCAUGAAUUUGAAUACAGUUUGUUUUCUCAAUGAUUUAUCUAGAAUAUGUGUUGUUUUUAUUUAUUUUGAUUUAAAAUCAACAUAGUUUGUUUUCUCUUUUUGUUUUGUA